UCCUACGGGAGGCAGCAGUAGGGAAUCUUCCACAAUGGGCGCAAGCCUGAUGGAGCAACACCGCGUGAGUGAAGAAGGGUUUCGGCUCGUAAAGCUCUGUUGUUGGAGAAGAACGUGCGUGAGAGUAACUGUUCACGCAGUGACGGUAUCCAACCAGAAAGUCACGGCUAACUACGUGCCAGCAGCCGCGGUAAUACGUAGGUGGCAA
This 208-nucleotide ribosomal RNA is filed under the name uncultured bacterium. RNAcentral describes it as "partial 16S ribosomal RNA". It matches the Rfam family "Bacterial small subunit ribosomal RNA", at positions 337 to 537 of the family's 1533-position model. The record is from RNAcentral.